RNAcentral lists this transfer RNA (87 nucleotides) under Dyadobacter pollutisoli. RNAcentral's name for it is "Dyadobacter sp. U1 tRNA-Ser". It matches the Rfam family "tRNA". From Rfam's summary of the family: Transfer RNA (tRNA) molecules are approximately 80 nucleotides in length. The record is from RNAcentral. Lineage: Bacteria; Pseudomonadati; Bacteroidota; Cytophagia; Cytophagales; Spirosomataceae.
AGAGAGGUGCCCGAGUGGUUGAAGGGGCUACCCUGGAAAGGUAGUAUAUGGGUAACUGUAUCGUGAGUUCGAAUCUCAUCCUCUCUG